Molecule: long non-coding RNA, 325 nt
Filed under: Hordeum vulgare
Lineage: Eukaryota; Viridiplantae; Streptophyta; Magnoliopsida; Poales; Poaceae
Description: long non-coding RNA (HVUL_LNC021364)
Source: RNAcentral
UAGUAGUUCAUAUGAGUAUAGUUAGUAUUAGUAGUAGUUCUUAGGAUUGUAGGAUGGUGUAAUUUUUUGAAUAUGAGUCUUAUUUGAAUAUUAGUUAGUAUAUGAGUAAUUUUUUGUGAUUUGUAGGAUGGUGUGGCUUCUGAAUAAUGUUUAUGACGUUGAACACCGGGCCUAUUUCAUGUCGGAGAAGAAGAUGGUAAGUAGAAAAUGAUUAGUAGAUGAGUAAUUUUUUGAAAAUGUAAUAAGCACUUGAUAUCUUCUUCUCCUAUAUGUUUGCAGGAGCUUACGCCCUUCAAGAUCCGGUCUCAUGGGGCAUCCUCUGUAA